This 230-nucleotide unclassified non-coding RNA is filed under the name Termitomyces sp. Group7. RNAcentral's name for it is "ITS1". The record is from RNAcentral. Lineage: Eukaryota; Fungi; Basidiomycota; Agaricomycetes; Agaricales; Lyophyllaceae.
UUGAAUCAAACUCUGGUUUGCGUUGUUGCUGGUCUCUCGGGGCAUGUGCACACGCCUUCCAUCGUUUUUAACCACCUGUGCACCUUUUGUAGACUUUGGAAUUGUACUUGGACUGUCGAGCUGCAAAGCUGGGCCUUCCCUUGCAUUUCUGGGUCUAUGCAUCUUAUUAUACACCGUAAAGAAUGUAUCAGAAUGUUUUGUUAUUGGCCUUAGUUGCCUUUAAUCAAAUA